AGUUACACUCCCAAACCCAAUGUGAACGUUACCAAACUGUUGCCUCGGCGGGGUCACGCCCCGGGUGCGUAAAAGCCCCGGAACCAGGCGCCCGCCGGAGGAACCAACCAAACUCUUUCUGUAGUCCCCUCGCGGACGUAUUUCUUACAGCUCUGAGCAAAAAUUCAAAAUGAAUCAAAACUUUCAACAACGGAUCUCUUGGUUCUGGCAUCGAUGAAGAACGCAGCGAAAUGCGAUAAGUAAUGUGAAUUGCAGAAUUCAGUGAAUCAUCGAAUCUUUGAACGCACAUUGCGCCCGCCAGUAUUCUGGCGGGCAUGCCUGUCCGAGCGUCAUUUCAACCCUCGAACCCCUCCGGGGGAUCGGCGUUGGGGAUCGGGACCCCUCACCGGGUGCCGGCCCUGAAAUAGAGUGGCGGUCUCGCCGCAGCCUCUCCUGCGCAGUAGUUUGCACAACUCGCACCGGGAGCGCGGCGCGUCCACGUCCGUAAAACACCCAACUUCUGAAAUGUUGACCUCGGAUCAGGUAGGAAUACCCGCUGAACUUAAGCAUAUCAAUAAGCGGAGGAA
This 566-nucleotide ribosomal RNA is filed under the name Trichoderma hamatum. RNAcentral describes it as "eukaryotic LSU rRNA". The stretch from base 179 to 332 matches the Rfam family "5.8S ribosomal RNA". The record is from RNAcentral. Lineage: Eukaryota; Fungi; Ascomycota; Sordariomycetes; Hypocreales; Hypocreaceae.